GGGGUGUUAGGGCUACUACAGCGUUGGCUUCUUGCUCCAUGGUUCCCUCUGUUCCCAAGACGAUGGAAUCAUGUGACUGGUCUGUGACCGAUCACCUCUGAGGUAACUCUUACCAGGCUGCUGAAUCAUGGACUUGACAUUAAAUGAUGUCAGAAGUGGGAUUCAUUGAAGAUUACGUCUUCCACAGUCCGCAGAGUGAGCUUUUGGAUGCCUGCAUGGGCCUAGUCCCCAAGCCCUCUCCCAAGCUAAUGUGAUUUUUAUUGGACAACACAACUCUUUCUCACCUUCUGAUCUCUUCACCUGAAGAAGUAAGGAAGUUUCAAGAAACAUUACACAAGAGAAGAUGGAGACUGUCAAUCAUUAUUACACUAGGCUAUGCAAAAGUGCUAAACUAUAUGUAAGGCUUAGACCUCUUCAGUCUACUCAUUUGUUUAAACCGUUCCUCUAAAGGAUACUGGUUGGCAUAGUAUGUCUAUUCAGACAGAAGAAACGAAGGGAGGGGCAGGAGUUUGAGAAAAUGUCGGAUCCCAUCCCCAUCCUUUCUCCAAGUGAUGUCUUCACCAGUUUUAAAGGUUGAAUAAUUAUUCUUUCUAUUGAUAAAGUAUCCUUAGAAAUUUAACAACUGCUGACUAACUGAAGCUGAGUGGAAAGAAAUCUUGUUUUAACUCAGAAAUGUGUGGGACAACUGAAAGUUUCUUAUGUAAAAUGGAAGCUAUGCUCCAAAAAUGUAGUAAGGCUUUAGCAUGAGCUGGGCCUAAGUUUUACUUUCCCGUAAAUCUUAUGUUUUGGGGGAAAUAAGGUCCUACACCAACUGCCCACCCCCUCCCUUGUUUUGUAACCACUACCCCAGCCUUAUCCUUGCCAAAUUAGGCAAUCUGCUAGCUUCCCAGCUUGUUUUGGGUAAAAUGUAUCUCUUAGUUCCUGGGUAAAGUUAUUUGUCUCUUACCUCAGCCAAUGGGGAUAAAGAGAUUCAGGUAAACAAGUGUGUGUGGCGGGGUUCUUAGAGUUGUUUGUCUAAGGGUAGAUAACUGCUUGUUUGCUGCUUGGAUCCUGCCUGCCUACUCCAGAGUCUGCUCUAGGUCGGUGAUGCCCAAUUCUCAGGCUAGAAUAAAAUUUCUGUUUCUGCUGAGAGAAACCUCUGA
RNAcentral lists this long non-coding RNA (1142 nucleotides) under Phascolarctos cinereus (koala). RNAcentral describes it as "lncRNA (ENSPCIG00000016531.2)". Lineage: Eukaryota; Metazoa; Chordata; Mammalia; Diprotodontia; Phascolarctidae. The record is from RNAcentral.